GCGUUAAAUAGUACGUGAAAUUGUUGCACGGGAAGCACUUGUGACCAGACUUGGGCCGGGGGGCUCAUCAGGGGUUCUCCCCUGUGCACUCCGCCGGGCACAGGCCAGCAUCGGUUCUCGUGGGGGGAUAAGACCGUCAGGAACGUAGCACCCUCCGCCGGGGGUUAUAGCCUGGCGGACGAUACCCCCGUGGUGACCGAGGUUCGCGCUCCGCAUGGAUGCUGGCGUAAUGGUCAUCAGUGACCCGUCUUGUAACACGGACCAAG
RNAcentral lists this ribosomal RNA (266 nucleotides) under Diaporthe phoenicicola. RNAcentral's name for it is "partial large subunit ribosomal RNA". It matches the Rfam family "Eukaryotic large subunit ribosomal RNA", at positions 385 to 670 of the family's 3401-position model. Lineage: Eukaryota; Fungi; Ascomycota; Sordariomycetes; Diaporthales; Diaporthaceae. The record is from RNAcentral.